UUGACUUAUUGUAUAAGUUACUCAGAGAGGCCAGUAGUUACAGGGUUUCGGUCUUCUGACGGGCUUGCCGGGCUCCCCGAGGGGGCGCCGGCGCGGCCGCGGGUUGCCCCGGGCCACCCGCCGAAGCAACGGUGAGGUAGGUUCACAAUGGUUGGGAGUUUUGCAACUCUGUAAUGAUCCCUCCGCUGGUUCACCAACGGAGA
RNAcentral lists this unclassified non-coding RNA (203 nucleotides) under uncultured fungus. Its description in RNAcentral is "sequence contains ITS1". Lineage: Eukaryota; Fungi. The record is from RNAcentral.